AUGGGUCACUGUGAUUGCAGGCACCAAGGAGGAGGGCAGCCUGACCACCUGCAUGAGCUGGGGCAGCUGCUCCUUAGGAUAGGAACAGCCUGGGCACAGCUGGUGGGAUGGGAUGGGAUGGGGAGUUUCUUCUCCACAGCAGAGCCAGCAGCAGGCUGUGCAGGGGGUGCUACCGAAAUCACAGGGGCUGCAGGGUUGGAAGAUGGCCCCAGCAGGCCCCUCCUGAAUGGGGCACUGCGCUGUGUAAGGGCAGAUGCAGUGCCACUGCUUCCUGCUCCUCACCUCCCAGCCACUUCCAGCAGCACUGGUGGGUGUCCCACCAGGAAAUCCCUCCAGAAUUGUUGCUGGCAGGGAACUGCAUCUGAGCGACCAAAGGGAAGACCAAAGAACCAAGGGCAGACAUCCCAAGGCCGGUGUUUUCCACAGGGGCGAUGUGGAGAAGCAGGCCCCGGUGUGGGCACAGCCAGAGAAGAAAUCUAUGGAAGCCAACCCACACGGUGUUGGGGACCUUGCUGGGAGAGGGCAGCAAGCACCCUGGGGAGCCGUCCUUCUGCUGCAAGGAGGCUGCAGAUGCAAGGCUCUGUCUUGGACCUCUCUCCCCUGGAAAUGUUGCCACGUGCAUAAAGCCACAGGGCUGUGUUUCUGCUUCAGUGUUCAGGUCAAAUGAACGCAGGUAAUGUCUUUCCUCCCACCUCUGCCAAACAAAAUUUGAUCAGAAAUAUUCUGGCUAAUAUCUAGUACAGCCAAAAAACAGCAGAGGAGGGAAAAACCCUCCCUUCACUGAAAACUUCACAUCAGCCAGCACAAAGCCUGGUUCCAGCCCUGGAUUUCAGGACAAAGGUCAAAUCUAGCAGGUGAUACUGGAGGAAAUGUGUGGGAAGAUAGGCUGGUUGGGUUUUGCCUGGCUUUAAAAUCCACGUGUGAUAUUUUUCAUGUAUGUACUUCCUAAUCCCAUAGUAAAUAGCCAUAAUUUUCCCAUUUCACAAAGUUAAAUGCCCGUAUGCCCUCUUGCACACACAGAAAAAUUGAUCCAGGUGCAGCUGGGAUUCAGAAAGCCUGUGGAGUUUAGAAAGGUCACUUCAAGAGUGGGGAGAGAUUGAGGGUGUUGCUGUUAAUCAAAGAAGGGAUAUCCAACCUCUUUCUGACAAUAAACAAUGCAAAUGAUAUUAGUUCUGCCAGCCUAGAAGUGCUGUUAAGACAUUUCUUGCACUUAACAUAAAUAUCCUCUGCAGUGUCCUCUGACGUCCUGGCUGGGUUUUGCAGUGGUGAGCAGGGCAGAAUUUCCUCCAGUGCUAGGGAUCCCCACACCGCUGUACACCUUGCCUUUUUUCUGCUCUCUCUGCCUGUGAAGCCAGCUGAAAUGACUGUAGGCAGUCAUCCCCCUGCCUUGUCCCCCCUCCCUGACUCUGCCUGUGGUUUUGAGCAAGCUCAGAUUACCAGGGAUCUCCAGAUAAUUCUCCCUCCCUGCUGUCCUGUAAAAUCAACAAACAUCCCCACCUUCCCCAUCGCCUUUUCCCUUCCCUGACUGCUUAAAGACCUGGGAACUCGGCACUGCUGGUGGGAUUUCAAAACCCAGCCCAGGCAGGAGUGCCAGGUUCUGGCUAAACAGCUGCUGUGCACCCUCAAAGCUACACACUGCAAUGAUUUGUAUAGCCCAUUGCUGAACCAGCUACAGCCAUUUGUUUAAAAAAUAAAGAGACAGAUAAAUUCAGCUCUUCUCCUAGCAAGCUGAUAUCAUGCGCCUCUCUUAAAAAUGGCUUGCUCCAGAAUGCAUUAGAGCUAAAUUAUCAUUUAUGUUUGUCACAGGGAUUGCUAAUGUGUAAUGAGAUUUUAGAGUUAAUGUUUUGUACAAAGCACUUAGCGGAGCUAGGAUGAAAU
This 1878-nucleotide long non-coding RNA is filed under the name Cairina moschata (Muscovy duck). RNAcentral describes it as "domestica (muscovy Duck (domestic type)) lncRNA (ENSCMMG00000000161.1)". Lineage: Eukaryota; Metazoa; Chordata; Aves; Anseriformes; Anatidae. The record is from RNAcentral.